RNAcentral lists this transfer RNA (113 nucleotides) under Parastagonospora nodorum SN15. Its description in RNAcentral is "Phaeosphaeria nodorum SN15 tRNA-Leu for anticodon CAG". It matches the Rfam family "tRNA". Rfam says of the family: Transfer RNA (tRNA) molecules are approximately 80 nucleotides in length. Their secondary structure includes four short double-helical elements and three loops (D, anti-codon, and T loops). Lineage: Eukaryota; Fungi; Ascomycota; Dothideomycetes; Pleosporales; Phaeosphaeriaceae. The record is from Rfam by way of RNAcentral.
GGCAAGAUGGCCGAGCGGUCUAAGGCGCUAGCUUCAGGUUCAAUACAUCCUCACCGAGCGUGUAGAGCUUGCUAGUAGAGCAAUCUGCGUGGGUUCGAAUCCCACUCUUGUCA